GAUGAACGCUGGCGGCGUGCCUAAUACAUGCAAGUAGAACGCUGAAGGAGGAGCUUGCUCUUCUGGAUGAGUUGCGAACGGGUGAGUAACGCGUAGGUAACCUGCCUGGUAGCGGGGGAUAACUAUUGGAAACGAUAGCUAAUACCGCAUGACAACAGUUAUUGCAUGAUAACUGUUUAAAAGGGGCAACUGCUCCACUACCAGAUGGACCUGCGUUGUAUUAGCUAGUUGGUGAGGUAACGGCUCACCAAGGCGACGAUACAUAGCCGACCUGAGAGGGGGAUCGGCCAAAAUGGGACUGAGACACGGCCCAGACUCCUACGGGAGGCAGCAGUAGGGAAUCUUCGGCAAUGGACGGAAGUCUGACCGAGAAACGCCGCGUGAGUGAAGAAGGUUUUCGGAUCGUAAAGCUCUGUUGUAAGAGAAGAACGAGUGUGAGAGUGGAAAGUUCACACUGUGACGGUAUCUUACCAGAAAGGGACGGCUAACUACGUG
Molecule: ribosomal RNA, 495 nt
Filed under: uncultured bacterium
Lineage: Bacteria
Description: partial 16S ribosomal RNA
Rfam family: Bacterial small subunit ribosomal RNA
Source: RNAcentral